CUCGCAAGAGCAAAGCAGGGGGACCUUCGGGCCUUGCGCUACCGGAUAUGCCCAGGUGGGAUUAGCUAGUUGGUGAGGUAAGGGCUCACCAAGGCGACGAUCCCUAGCUGGUCUGAGAGGAUGAUCAGCCACACUGGAACUGAGACACGGUCCAGACUCCUACGGGAGGCAGCAGUGGGGAAUAUUGCACAAUGGGCGCAAGCCUGAUGCAGCCAUGCCGCGUGUAUGAAGAAGGCCUUCGGGUU
Molecule: ribosomal RNA, 245 nt
Filed under: uncultured Vibrio sp.
Lineage: Bacteria; Pseudomonadati; Pseudomonadota; Gammaproteobacteria; Vibrionales; Vibrionaceae
Description: partial 16S ribosomal RNA
Rfam family: Bacterial small subunit ribosomal RNA
Source: RNAcentral